AGGGUAGGAUGAGAACAUUUCAUAAGUUCUUUAAAUCUCUCCUAUGAUUCAUAAAUAGAUUCAUCAUCAAAUUUGAGAAAAGAUGUUAUAUCAUUCAUAAGUUU
Small nucleolar RNA from Dendrobium catenatum, 104 nucleotides. NCBI's taxonomy places the organism in Eukaryota, Viridiplantae, Streptophyta, Magnoliopsida, Asparagales, Orchidaceae. The record is from RefSeq and is a predicted model, not a curated record.